AGUGACCAGAUUAUUUUUAAAAUGAUGAAAAUGAGCUUUUAAUCCUGGCUACAGUGGAUGCUAGAUUUUGAAAAGGAUUAGCAAGUUAGCCAUUAGUUAAUUAAUAGUUAAUAUCAAGAAACACAGAUAAAGUCACACACCUGGAGGCACACAGAGGUUGUUUAUGAGAAGAGCAGUUAAAAAAGAAAAAACUAAGCUAAGUUUGUGGACUUUGAAAACUAGACAGGGCGAUUUUGGCAUUUGUUUCAGAAAUGGGAACGCAUCUGGUGAAGAUUUCUGUGGUCCUUGGGGCUGGUGGUGACAUCAAAGCUUUCCCAUUUCCAGGGACUUCUGACAUGAACAAACUGGAGAAGGUGCAGAGCUGGAAUGGAUUACCCAACUGGCUUAACCAAGAUAAAGGAAGAAUGCACCCUGGACUGGGGACUCAAUUGGACUGAUUUGAGUUCUUGACUAUUGAUUGGGCUUGGUCUCCUUCGUGGUGGUUGAGGUUAUAGAAUCUCCUCAAUCUGAUUACUGUACGAAUUUCUGCAUUCUACCAAAUGUAGCAUAUAUGUGUGGUUGGUUUCAAUAAAUCUUUCAUUUAAAAAUGAAAA
Molecule: non-coding RNA, 593 nt
Organism: Miniopterus natalensis
Lineage: Eukaryota; Metazoa; Chordata; Mammalia; Chiroptera; Miniopteridae
Source: RefSeq, a predicted model, not a curated record